This 898-nucleotide ribosomal RNA is filed under the name Clostridioides difficile. Its description in RNAcentral is "bacterial SSU rRNA". The stretch from base 246 to 898 matches the Rfam family "Bacterial small subunit ribosomal RNA", at positions 874 to 1520 of the family's 1533-position model. The record is from RNAcentral. Lineage: Bacteria; Bacillati; Bacillota; Clostridia; Peptostreptococcales; Peptostreptococcaceae.
AGAAUUGCCUACUGUUUAAUUUUGAAAGUUCUUUACGAACUUUAUAUAUGGGGGUGUAGCUCAGUUGGGAGAGCACUUGCCUUGCAAGCAAGGGGUCAGGAGUUCGACUCUCCUCAUCUCCACCAUUUAAGAGUAUAUUACUUAAAUCUUUGAUUUACUUAGUAGCCUCUUACAAUGCACUUAUAGCUUAAAUUUAUACAAGCUUUGUGUGUUAGCACUUUAAGCAACAGAAUAAACUGAACGCAUGUGAAGUUUGUUUGUUGGCGCUGUGCGUUAGCACUUUNGAAUUGACGGGGACCCGCACAAGUAGCGGAGCAUGUGGUUUAAUUCGAAGCAACGCGAAGAACCUUACCUAAGCUUGACAUCCCAAUGACAUCUCCUUAAUCGGAGAGUUCCCUUCGGGGACAUUGGUGACAGGUGGUGCAUGGUUGUCGUCAGCUCGUGUCGUGAGAUGUUGGGUUAAGUCCCGCAACGAGCGCAACCCUUGUCUUUAGUUGCCAUCAUUAAGUUGGGCACUCUAGAGAGACUGCCAGGGAUAACCUGGAGGAAGGUGGGGAUGACGUCAAAUCAUCAUGCCCCUUAUGCUUAGGGCUACACACGUGCUACAAUGGGUAGUACAGAGGGUUGCCAAGCCGUAAGGUGGAGCUAAUCCCUUAAAGCUACUCUCAGUUCGGAUUGUAGGCUGAAACUCGCCUACAUGAAGCUGGAGUUACUAGUAAUCGCAGAUCAGAAUGCUGCGGUGAAUGCGUUCCCGGGUCUUGUACACACCGCCCGUCACACCACGGGAGUUGGAGACGCCCGAAGCCGAUUAUCUAACCUUUUGGAAGAAGUCGUCGAAGGUGGAAUCAAUAACUGGGGUGAAGUCGUAACAAGGUAGCCGUAUCGGAAGGUGCGGCUG